Molecule: ribosomal RNA, 253 nt
Filed under: uncultured bacterium
Lineage: Bacteria
Description: partial 16S ribosomal RNA
Rfam family: Bacterial small subunit ribosomal RNA
Source: RNAcentral
UACGUAGGGGGCGAGCGUUGUCCGGAUUUAUUGGGCGUAAAGAGCGUGUAGGCGGUUCGGUAAGUCUGUCGUGAAAUCCUGAGGCUCAACCUCGGACGUGCGAUGGAUACUGCCGGGCUAGAGGAUGGUAGAGGCGAGUGGAAUUCCCGGUGUAGCGGUGAAAUGCGCAGAUAUCGGGAGGAACACCAGUGGCGAAGGCGGCUCACUGGCCCGGUACUGACGCUGAGGUGCGAAAGCGUGGGGAGCAAACAGG